CAAAACAGCAAACUUUUUGCUUAGAAAACAUCCCUUUUCUAUGGGAGAGGAUGGGAAACUACAUCUGGGAGAGAGGCUUUUCCUGAAUUUGCUGUCUGAAUUGACCACUGCUUUGCAAUUAUUAACAGAAUUAACUACCAUCCAAAAGGACUACGACAGAAAGAGGGGAAAAAAUACAAUGCAAAAAGAAAAAAAAAAAAUAAGGUCAAGAAAAAGAAGAACCUACCUGCGAAGUCUUGUUUGUAGUUUUGGCCAGAAAUGGUGAGAAGAAAAAGCAUGAAGAAGCCGCGAAGUGUGGGGGAGAAAAGGUGGAAGAGAAGCAGCUCCUGGAGAAAAUUGUAAAAAGCCUUGCAAAGAGUUGUCGGAAGGACCGUUAUUCCUGCUGGGCAGGUUAGGACUGAUCUCUUUCUGCCACUCCAGGAAACACAAACCUGGGGACGGACUGACGUGUUACGCCUCUUCUAAUGACAUUUUUUUCUUUUUCUUUUCUGUAGAGAAGAGAGGCGAGACCCUGAAACACGCGCCACCUAUCUUUGUGGGGAGGGAUAAUUGAAGAGCACUAAACGUGAGCAUCAUGUGAAAACGUGAUCGCCAAGUUUCUCUCUGGGAAAGGAUCUGGGAUAGAUUAUACCUUGAAGUCUCCGCAAACGCUUUAGUGGAAGAAA
Long non-coding RNA from Sarcophilus harrisii (Tasmanian devil), 665 nucleotides. RefSeq lists it as uncharacterized. NCBI's taxonomy places the organism in Eukaryota, Metazoa, Chordata, Mammalia, Dasyuromorphia, Dasyuridae. The record is from RefSeq and is a predicted model, not a curated record. The transcript has 2 exons.